AUGGGAACAGACGAAAAGUACAGAAUUGGUGUUACCACUGAAGUUCAUGAUCAUUUCCUAAAGAUAAUUCCUGUUAAAAUGUCAUAUGAUGAUGUCAAAGCUUUAGCAGGAAAAAGAAUUGCAUCGUUUUGUAAAGACUACACGACCCUGUAUGCUGAAGUUACACGGUUGAAAAAUCACCACAGACAGAAAAGAGGUACUGCAUUUAGAUACUCGUUCAUCAGAAGGAAUCCAAGUUGCAUUAUAUUGGCAAACAAGAAAGACAAAAGUUCAUUAUAUAAACACCAAUUAGAAAGAAAUAUAAAAAGCAAAUACAAAUUUUGAUAAGAAUAACGCUUUUUGGUAUUAAUAUUUUCAGAUAAUGUUAAUUCAUAGAAUUGAAGUUUCUGUAUUUUAUAUUUUACAAACGAAAAUUUCAUUAAUUUCCAAACAUUUAUUUGAUUAUGAAACUUUAGUAUUUCGAUUUAUAUAAAUAUUAAAUUGCAGGUGCACUUGGCACAUACUUUGAGGAUGUGGCGACCUGGUGUCUAUUUUCCAGGUGUGCGUUUCGUUCAUCAGAAUUCAAUGCCGCCCUAGGUGCAUCUGAAAAAUAAAUGUAGACCUGCUGGGAGAUGUAGGUUUGAUGAAGUAUCGAUAUAUUACAAAUGGAAAUAACUAUACAAUAUUCACAGAAUGACAAUUACGUUGUGUGUGUAUGCAAAAAAAAUGGUUAUGCGAGUAUGUUUACUUUAUGUACUUUAAGUUUAUAGUAAUAAAAAAAAUAGAAAUA
Molecule: long non-coding RNA, 769 nt
Organism: Mytilus trossulus (common blue mussel)
Lineage: Eukaryota; Metazoa; Mollusca; Bivalvia; Mytilida; Mytilidae
Exons: 3
Source: RefSeq, a predicted model, not a curated record